RNAcentral lists this ribosomal RNA (372 nucleotides) under uncultured bacterium. RNAcentral's name for it is "bacterial SSU rRNA". It matches the Rfam family "Bacterial small subunit ribosomal RNA", at positions 521 to 895 of the family's 1533-position model. The record is from RNAcentral.
UAAUACGGAGGGUGCAAGCGUUAUCCGGAUUCACUGGGUUUAAAGGGUGCGUAGGUGGGCAAGUAAGUCAGUGGUGAAAUCUCCGGGCUUAACCCGGAAACUGCCAUUGAUACUAUUUGUCUUGAAUACUGUGGAGGUCAGCGGAAUAUGUCAUGUGGCGGUGAAAUGCUUAGAUAUGACAUAGAACACCAAUUGCGAAGGCAGCUGGCUACACAAAUAUUGACACUGAGGCACGAAAGCGUGGGGAUCAAACAGGAUUAGAUACCCUGGUAGUCCACGCCCUAAACUAUGGAUACUCGACAUUUGCGAUAAACUGCAAGUGUCUGAGCGAAAGCAUUAAGUAUCCCACCUGGGAAGUACGAUCGCAAGAUU